This 239-nucleotide unclassified non-coding RNA is filed under the name Hevea brasiliensis (rubber tree). Lineage: Eukaryota; Viridiplantae; Streptophyta; Magnoliopsida; Malpighiales; Euphorbiaceae. The record is from RNAcentral.
UGAAGAUGCGUCGGCGCGGCGAUGGUCACCGCGUCGGGUCCAGCAGCGAGCAUCUCUUCAAGAGUCGCGAAAGUCGGACAGCCGACAAUUUCCAACGCUCGCGUGCGGUGCGCAGGAAGCGGAUCAACGAUACCGACCAAUUCGACACCGGGCAGACCGGCCAGCACGCGAGCAUGAUUGGUGCCCAUAACACCUGCGCCAACGACGCCGACGCGCAACACCCCUUCGUUGCCAGCCGU